This 164-nucleotide small nuclear RNA is filed under the name Erinaceus europaeus (western European hedgehog). RNAcentral describes it as "U1 spliceosomal RNA". It matches the Rfam family "U1 spliceosomal RNA". From Rfam's summary of the family: U1 is a small nuclear RNA (snRNA) component of the spliceosome (involved in pre-mRNA splicing). Its 5' end forms complementary base pairs with the 5' splice junction, thus defining the 5' donor site of an intron. There are significant differences in sequence and secondary structure between metazoan and yeast U1 snRNAs, the latter being much longer (568 nucleotides as compared to 164 nucleotides in human). The record is from Rfam by way of RNAcentral. Lineage: Eukaryota; Metazoa; Chordata; Mammalia; Eulipotyphla; Erinaceidae.
CUACUUACCUGGCAGGGGAGAUACCAUGAUCACGAGGGUGGUUUUCCCAAGGCGAGGCUUAUCCAUUACACUCCAGAUGUGCUGACUCCUGCGAUUUCCCCAAAUGUGGAAAACUGGACUGCAUAAUUUGUGGUAGUGGGAGACUGCGCUUGUGCUCUCCCCUG